Molecule: ribosomal RNA, 195 nt
Filed under: uncultured Geobacter sp.
Lineage: Bacteria; Pseudomonadati; Thermodesulfobacteriota; Desulfuromonadia; Geobacterales; Geobacteraceae
Description: partial 16S ribosomal RNA
Rfam family: Bacterial small subunit ribosomal RNA
Source: RNAcentral
CCUACGGGAGGCAGCAGUGGGGAAUAUUGCGCAAUGGGCGAAAGCCUGACGCAGCAACGCCGCGUGAGUGAUGAAGGCCUUCGGGUCGUAAAGCCCUGUCGGAGGGAACGAAUGUUUCCAGGGUUAACAGCCCCGGGAAGUGACGGUACCCUCAAAGGAAGCACCGGCUAACUCCGUGCCAGCAGCCGCGGUAAU